AUGGCGGUAGCAAGGUCUGAGUCAGUCUUUUUAGCACUCCUAUGCUACUUCAUGAUAGUGAAUCUACCCAUGCAUCCAUAUCUGGAGUCCUCUUCAUAUGAUGAUGCAGAAGAGCACAUUGCUGCUAUUGAAGCCAAAGGUAAGACCUUGAGUGGGGGUGGAGGCUGGAUUGUGAGCCAGAUGCCCCAUCAACAGGGGCGAUCCGUGUCCUGGGGCCGUUGGAUCACAACAACGCCACGACAGCAGCGCAUCGCGGCAGCUUCACAACGCCAUUGCUACCCCGCGCGGUUCUUGAACGCAACACCGACGACGUCCUGCGAGCUCCAUUGCAGCCCCGGCGGAGCUCCAUUGCAGCCCCGGCGGAGCUCCAACACAGCGCCGACGCUCCGGCGAAGCUCCAUUGCAACUCUGGACGAGCUCCACUAUAGCCAUGACGUGUCCGGCGAGACUCCAAUGCAGCACCGCCGGCUCCGCUCUCCUCUGCUUGCAUCAAUGGCGGAGACACCAUGGUUUGCAGCAGGGGGGGUAGCACGCGUGGAGGGGCACAUAUGGCUAGCAUGGGAGGCGUUGGAGAAGAAGGUGCAUGUGGGAAUGCCCUACAGACUGAUGAACAUGAAUCAUAGGAACCACCAAAGCAUGAAGGGAACAACCAGUAUGGAUUGGGAACAACAAGAUGAACUGGCUUUUGUUGGCACUCUUGCAUACAUUGAAGAUUUUGCGGCAUUUGGUUGCAUCUGA
RNAcentral lists this ribosomal RNA (738 nucleotides) under Triticum aestivum (bread wheat). RNAcentral describes it as "partial small subunit ribosomal RNA". The record is from RNAcentral. Lineage: Eukaryota; Viridiplantae; Streptophyta; Magnoliopsida; Poales; Poaceae.